AAUAUUGGACAAUGGGCGCAAGCCUGAUCCAGCGACGCCGCGUGAGUGAUGAAGGCCUUCGGGUUGUAAAGCUCUGUUGAGGGGAAAGAAAACGGCUGGCGUGAAUAACUCCAGUCCUUGACGGUACCCCUUUAGAAAGCACCGGCUAACUCUGUGCCAGCAGCCGCGGUAAUACAGAGGGUGCGAGCGUUAAUCGGAAUUACUGGGCGUAAAGCGCACGUAGGUGGCUUUGCAAGUCGAUUGUGAAAUCCCCGGGCUUAACCUGGGAACUGCAGUCGAGACUGCUUUGCUUGAGUAUGGGAGAGGGAGGUGGAAUUUCCGGUGUAGCGGUGAAAUGCGUAGAUAUCGGAAGGAACAUCAGUGGCGAAGGCGACCUCCUGGACCAAUACUGACACUCAAGUGCGAAAGCGUGGGGAGCAAAC
Molecule: ribosomal RNA, 422 nt
Filed under: uncultured bacterium
Lineage: Bacteria
Description: bacterial SSU rRNA
Rfam family: Bacterial small subunit ribosomal RNA
Source: RNAcentral